CCUACGGGUGGCAGCAGUGGGGGAUAUUGCACAAUGGGGGCAACCCUGAUGCAGCGACGCCGCGUGAGCGAUGGAGUACUUCGGUAUGUAAAGCUCUGUCAGCAGGGAAGAGAAUGACGGUACCUGACCAAGAAGCCCCGGCUAAAUACGUGCCAGCAGCCGCGGUAAUACGUAGGGGGCAAGCGUUAUCCGGAAUUACUGGGUGUAAAGGGAGCGUAGACGGUAAUGCAAGUCUGGAGUGAAAGGCGGGGGCCCAACCCCCGGACUGCUCUGGAAACUGUGUAACUGGAGUGCAGGAGAGGCAGGCGGAAUUCCUAGUGUAGCGGUGAAAUGCGUAGAUAUUAGGAGGAACACCAGUGGCGAAGGCGGCCUGCUGGACUGUAACUGACGUUGAGGCUCGAAAGCGUGGGGAGCAAACAGGAUUAGAUACCCUGGUAGUC
Molecule: ribosomal RNA, 440 nt
Filed under: uncultured bacterium
Lineage: Bacteria
Description: partial 16S ribosomal RNA
Rfam family: Bacterial small subunit ribosomal RNA
Source: RNAcentral